AACGAACGCUGGCGGCAUGCCUAACACAUGCAAGUCGAACGAGACCUUCGGGUCUAGUGGCGCACGGGUGCGUAACGCGUGGGAACCUGCCCUUAGGUUCGGUAUAACUCCCCGAAAGGUGUGCUAAUACCGGAUAAUGUCUUCGGACCAAAGAUUUAUCGCCUUUGGAUGGGCCCGCGUUGGAUUAGCUAGUUGGUAGGGUAAAAGCCUACCAAGGCGACGAUCCAUAGCUGGUCUGAGAGGAUGAUCAGCCACACUGGGACUGAGACACGGCCCAGACUCCUACGGGAGGCAGCAGUGGGGAAUAUUGGACAAUGGGCGAAAGCCUGAUCCAGCAAUGCCGCGUGAGUGAUGAAGGCCUUAGGGUUGUAAAGCUCUUUUACCCGGGAUGAUAAUGACAGUACCGGGAGAAUAAGCUCCGGCUAACUCCGUG
Molecule: ribosomal RNA, 433 nt
Filed under: uncultured bacterium
Lineage: Bacteria
Description: partial 16S ribosomal RNA
Rfam family: Bacterial small subunit ribosomal RNA
Source: RNAcentral